This 406-nucleotide ribosomal RNA is filed under the name uncultured bacterium. Its description in RNAcentral is "partial 16S ribosomal RNA". It matches the Rfam family "Bacterial small subunit ribosomal RNA", at positions 29 to 526 of the family's 1533-position model. The record is from RNAcentral.
AUUGAACGCUGGCGGCAGGCCUAACACAUGCAAGUCGAACGAGUGGCGGACGGGUGAGUAAUGUCUGGGAAACUGCCCGAUGGAGGGGGAUAACUACUGGAAACGGUAGCUAAUACCGCAUACCAUCGGAUGUGCCCAGAUGGGAUUAGCUAGCAGGUGGGGUAAAGGCUCACCUAGGCGACGAUACCUAGCUGGUCUGAGAGGAUGACCAGCCACGCUGGAACUGAGACACGGUCCUGACGCCGACGUGAGGCAGCAGAGGGAGAUGUUGCACAAUGGGCGCAAGCCUGAUGCAGCCAGGCCGCGUGUAUGAAGAAGGCCUUCGGGUUGUAAAGUACUUUCAGCGGGGAGGCGUUACCCGCAGAAGAAGCACCGGCUGACUCCGUGCCAGCAGCCGCGGUAAUAC